Gasterosteus aculeatus aculeatus (three-spined stickleback) is the source of this 1414-nucleotide long non-coding RNA. The record is from Ensembl. Lineage: Eukaryota; Metazoa; Chordata; Actinopteri; Perciformes; Gasterosteidae.
GCACGUCCCCUCGGCGUGUCUUAGCUGGACUCGGGCCGUGCCCCAAUGCGGCGGGUCUAAGAAGCAGUUUAGCCAAUGACUGAUUAAAGUUAAUGAGUGACAUAUCAUUUCACAGUCCUAAAAUGCAUUGAGGUUUGGGCACAGCCCUUCGCCGCCCUACGCUGCACUCUCGUCAGGGCGACUCUCACGCCGCGCCAUUGAACAACAUAACAAGAGCGACCACGAGCAGUGUCCUUCCAAGAAGACCCGACCCGACAUGGUACGAGAGAAGAACUUUGCCGGAGAAACUGGAGGUGAAACAGCUGGACACAGAUGACCUCACAAUCAGACAACGGACUGGCGAGAAAGGGAAGCCACGCAUACGACGCUUCUGUAUGUUGAGAUGCUACACCGGUUGUGUGUUGCCACAGGGCACUGUGUCUUAUCCCCCUGGAAAGACUGACAGCGACACAGGAAGAGGGACUCUGUCACCAACGUCACUCCUCUCCCGCCCUCGUAUGCGAGUUUGCUCGCAUACAUGCUGAACAUACGUUUCCAUUGAGAGCUUCCUUGGGAAAUGCACAGUUGACAGAUAUGCAGCGACUUCAGUCAUAUGCAGACGACACACAGAGAGAAUGACUGGAAAGGCCAGAGGGCGUCGGCCACCCUGCUGAAAUCAAUCUUAGUGAAUAAAACACUGAAAAAGGAGAAAGCCUGUCCUCUGAUGGAUGUCCUUAUGUCCUCUGUUCCAUCCCACCUGGAGGUUAUCCCAACAGAUGUCUGCGUCUCAGAGUUCCUCAUUGGCUCCAUGGUUUUGAUUCAAAAUACAACCCACAACAUUAAAUGAAGGCUGGUGUUACGUACUUACGUAAUAGAUGCAGAAGUAUUGAAAACUGAGAAGUACAAUCUGCAGACUAGCCACCACACGGUGCUCUUCAAAAUGCAGCAGUAAAAAGGGAAUCGACACUAGAAAUAAAGGGGACAGCAUUUAAUGCUCCGUUGCUUUCAUUGUGGGUGUUUGGGCAAUCAGCGGCACAAUAGGCCUAGGAAUAGGAGGAAUCCGAGUUGGUGAAGACAGAAACAAGAAGACAUGGACUAAGUCCACAAGCCAGCAUGCAGAAAACCUUUUGAGAGACAUCGUGUCCUCCCAAGUGGAGGCUUUGCUCGUGCGGCGCCCUGCUCUUAGACUCCUGCAGCCAGCGGCGUGUUUUAACAUCGUUCAGGUCAGAGUCACCGCUUGAUGGAAAGGUCACUCUGCAGACCACACGCUGCCAAGUGUGCCACCCCAGGCAGAGCUCCCCCUACGCCGUCUACAUCCGAGGCUGAAGUUGGAGGGUGACAAACAAAAGCGGGGCACUUUUCUUCGCUGCAAUACAGCUCGACUCACACUUGUCUUUUUGCCUCUCGGGGCUCAUUUAAAGUAUUUUCUCCCUCC